CCUACGGGAUGCAGCAGUGGGGAAUAUUGGACAAUGGGCGAAAGCCUGAUCCAGCAAUGCCGCGUGUGUGAAGAAGGUCUUCGGAUUGUAAAGCACUUUCAGCGGGGAGGAAGGGAGUAAAGUUAAUACCUUUGCUCAUUGACGUUACCCGCAGAAGAAGCACCGGCUAACUCCGUGCCAGCAGCCGCGGUAAUACGGAGGGUGCAAGCGUUAAUCGGAAUUACUGGGCGUAAAGCGCACGCAGGCGGUUUGUUAAGUCAGAUGUGAAAUCCCCGGGCUCAACCUGGGAACUGCAUCUGAUACUGGCAAGCUUGAGUCUCGUAGAGGGGGGUAGAAUUCCAGGUGUAGCGGUGAAAUGCGUAGAGAUCUGGAGGAAUACCGGUGGCGAAGGCGGCCCCCUGGACGAAGACUGACGCUGAGGCGCGAAAGCGUGGGGAGCAAACAGGAUUAGAUACCCGAGUAGUC
Molecule: ribosomal RNA, 465 nt
Filed under: uncultured bacterium
Lineage: Bacteria
Description: bacterial SSU rRNA
Rfam family: Bacterial small subunit ribosomal RNA
Source: RNAcentral